This 1311-nucleotide ribosomal RNA is filed under the name metagenome. Its description in RNAcentral is "bacterial LSU rRNA". It matches the Rfam family "Bacterial large subunit ribosomal RNA", at positions 1064 to 2398 of the family's 2925-position model. The record is from RNAcentral.
UGGAAAAGGAUGUGGGAUUUCGAAGACAACUAGGAUGUUGGCUCAGAAGCAGCCACACAUUCAAAGAGUGCGUAACAGCUCACUAGUCGAGAGGUCCUGCGCCGAAAAUGUCCGGGGCUGAAACACGACACCGAAGCUUAGGAAUCACAUAGUGAUUGGUAGAGGAGCAUUCUUAAAACCGACGAAGCUGUACCGGAAGGAGCAGUGGAGGGAUAAGAAGAGAGAAUGCCGGAAUGAGUAGCGAGAGAGAGGUGGGAAUCCUCUCGGCCGAAUAUCCAAGGUUUCCAGAGUAAAGCUGAUCUGCUCUGGGUAAGUCGGGGCCUAAGGCGAGGUCAAAAGACGUAGCCGAUGGACAACAGGUUUAGAUUCCUGUACCGCAUAUAAACAGAACUGUGGGGACGCAUGGGGAGAGCAUGGGCCGGGAAUGGAAAUACCGGUGCAAGCGAAGGAGGUGUGCAGCCGGCAAAUCCGCUGCAUGAGCCGAAAGCGUGACGCGGAGCGAAAUGAAAGUAGCGAAGCAUGUGAGCCCUGUGCCGAGAAAAGCCGCUAUUGUUUUAUAUGUGCCCGUACCGUAAACCGACACAGGUGGAUGAGGAGAGAAUCCUAAGGCCGGCGGAAGAAGCAUUGUUAAGGAACUCGGCAAAAUGACCCCGUAACUUCGGGAGAAGGGGUGCCCACUUCAGGGUGGGCCGCAGAGAAUAGGCUCAAGCAACUGUUUAGCAAAAACACAGGUCUAUGCGAAACCGAAAGGUGAAGUAUAUGGGCUGACGCCUGCCCGGUGCUGGAAGGUUAAGAGGAGAGGUUAGCGCAAGCGAAGCUUUGAAUUUAAGCCCCAGUAAACGGCGGCCGUAACUAUAACGGUCCUAAGGUAGCGAAAUUCCUUGUCGGGUAAGUUCCGACCCGCACGAAAGGCGUAAUGAUUUGAGCACUGUCUCGACAAUGCAUCCGGUGAAAUUGAAGUACCAGUGAAGAUGCUGGUUACCCGCGCCAGGACGGAAAGACCCCAUGGAGCUUUACUCCAGUUUGGUACUGGGAUUCGGUACUGCACGUACAGGAUAGGUGGGAGACUUUGAAACUUGAACGCCAGUUUGAGUGGAGUCGCUGUUGGGAUACCACCCCUGCAGUAUUGGGUUUCUAACCAGUCACCGUGACCCGGUGAUGGGACAAUGCCAGGCGGGGAGUUUGACUGGGGCGGUCGCCUCCGAAAGGGUAUCGGAGGCGCUCAAAGGUUCCCUCAGAAUGGUCGGAAACCAUUUGAAGAGUGCAAAGGCAGAAGGGAGCUUGACUGCGACACCGACGGGUGGAGCAGGU